GCUACAGUGGUUGCCGCCCGUUGUGAAUGGCUGCAGGAGAAGCUGUUGUGGCCGCCGAAACCACACCGGAGUUUCUGCCCAUUUUUGUCGCCGGAGAACCUCGCUGCCGUCGCCGGAGAACUCUUCCGUCGUCGUGAUUGGAAUUCGUAACCGCUGUCACUUGAGGUGGCUGCCGGGCUGCCGCCGAGCCGGUUCGGAGACCGCCGCUGUGUCGGUUCAGCCGUUCUUCUUUCGGUUCGAGUUGUUGAGACUGUUGCAAAAGUGGCUGGGAGCUGAGGUUGUAGUUCCCGUCAGUUCGGUUUGAGGCGGAAAGGACUUGAUGAGGCGUUUGGGUUAUGGAAUUGCAUUUUGAGGU
Molecule: non-coding RNA, 355 nt
Organism: Arachis ipaensis
Lineage: Eukaryota; Viridiplantae; Streptophyta; Magnoliopsida; Fabales; Fabaceae
Source: RefSeq, a predicted model, not a curated record